RNAcentral lists this unclassified non-coding RNA (292 nucleotides) under Clostridioides difficile. RNAcentral describes it as "partial 16S-23S ribosomal RNA intergenic spacer". The record is from RNAcentral. Lineage: Bacteria; Bacillati; Bacillota; Clostridia; Peptostreptococcales; Peptostreptococcaceae.
UCGGAAGGUGCGGCUGGAUCACCUCCUUUCUAAGGAGAAUUACCUACUGUUUAAUUUUGAGGGUUCGUUUUUACGAAUACUCAAAAUUAGCACUUUAAGCAACGGGAUUUAUCCGUUGGCGCUGUGAAUUAGCACUUUAAGCAACGGAAUUUAUUCGUUGGCGCUGUGCUUUAGCACUUUGAAAACUGCAUAUAUAUUUAGUGAUAUGACAUCUAAUUUGUAAUAUAUAAAGCUGAUAACUUUUUAAAAUUAUCGAAGUUGAUAGCUUCUAAUCUAUCAAACCUUUUUAACU